ACAAGUGAGUCAAUAACGAAAUGACUCACUUGCAGAAUGCUCCGACUGACUCACAUAGUUGUAAAAAAUGAGUCAAGAUCGGCGAUUGACUCAUUUACAAAAAAAAUGAGUCAAGAAUAAAGCCGUGCGCGCAUGCGCUACUUGCACGCUAUGACGUCAACCAUCGCGCGAACCAUUCCCGUUUGACGUCGCCAUUGCUGAAUUGGAUCAAGAGAAUACUGGCUACUGGAAGAAGUCACUACGCAACAGAUUCAGGAAUUGCAGGAAGUGUCAUGAACGUGAUAAUCCAUUAGGACAAAUGGAAGCAAAAAAAGGGGACUACACCCAAACCAGACAAAGCUGCAGGCAAACACACGUAUGGCAUAAAGAAAGUACCUUCCUGCAUCCCCAGAAGGUGAGGAUGAAGAAACGAUCAAUGCUCACAUCAAGAUGCUUCAGAAUGAAUCCAGAAAAACAAGACAGGACAGCUUGAUGAUAGACAACCUACUAACUUUAGCCCAUAGGCGCAAGGGUAUCAUCAACAGCAACUGGACUGAAUCCUACUUGAAGGAUAUGUACCCUUACCUUUUCCAUGAAGAUGAGAGAUUGAGAGACUGUCAGAGGACCCAAUUAAGCAGAAGUUGGAAGCAGGACAUUUGAAUAUGCUGAUCCAUUACUAGAGAUAUGUAAGACUCCCAAGCAAGGUUUGGAGCUCAAAAACCUAAUCUUGGCUGCAGCAGCAGAAAAUGAAGACACCAGGAAAAUGAUCAAAUCAUGUGGAGCACUUCUGUUGAUUCCUACUAUUUUUGGAGAGAAGGCAUUGCUUUGUCAGCAUAGCCAGG
RNAcentral lists this long non-coding RNA (821 nucleotides) under Lytechinus variegatus (green sea urchin). RNAcentral's name for it is "uncharacterized LOC121405835, transcript variant X2". Lineage: Eukaryota; Metazoa; Echinodermata; Echinoidea; Temnopleuroida; Toxopneustidae. The record is from RNAcentral.